GUUUGAUCCUGGCUCAGAUGAACGCUGGCGGCGUGCCUAAUACAUGCAAGUCGAACGCACAGCGAAAGGUGCUUGCACCUUUCAAGUGAGUGGCGAACGGGUGAGUAACACGUGGACAACCUGCCUCAAGGCUGGGGAUAACAUUUGGAAACAGAUGCUAAUACCGAAUAAAACUCAGUGUCGCAUGACACAAAGUUAAAAGGCGCUUUGGCGUCACCUAGAGAUGGAUCCGCGGUGCAUUAGUUAGUUGGUGGGGUAAAGGCCUACCAAGACAAUGAUGCAUAGCCGAGUUGAGAGACUGAUCGGCCACAUUGGGACUGAGACACGGCCCAAACUCCUACGGGAGGCUGCAGUAGGGAAUCUUCCACAAUGGGCGAAAGCCUGAUGGAGCAACGCCGCGUGUGUGAUGAAGGCUUUCGGGUCGUAAAGCACUGUUGUAUGGGAAGAACAGCUAGAAUAGGGAAUGAUUUUAGUUUGACGGUACCAUACCAGAAAGGGACGGCUAAAUACGUGCCAGCAGCCGCGGUAAUACGUAUGUCCCGAGCGUUAUCCGGAUUUAUUGGGCGUAAAGCGAGCGCAGACGGUUGAUUAAGUCUGAUGUGAAAGCCCGGAGCUCAACUCCGGAAUGGCAUUGGAAACUGGUUAACUUGAGUGCAGUAGAGGUAAGUGGAACUCCAUGUGUAGCGGUGGAAUGCGU
Molecule: ribosomal RNA, 697 nt
Filed under: uncultured bacterium
Lineage: Bacteria
Description: bacterial SSU rRNA
Rfam family: Bacterial small subunit ribosomal RNA
Source: RNAcentral